Molecule: ribosomal RNA, 234 nt
Filed under: uncultured bacterium
Lineage: Bacteria
Description: partial 16S ribosomal RNA
Rfam family: Bacterial small subunit ribosomal RNA
Source: RNAcentral
UACGAAGGGGGCUAGCGUUGCUCGGAAUCACUGGGCGUAAAGCGCACGUAGGCGGAUCUUUAAGUCAGGGGUGAAAUCCCAAGGCUCAACCUUGGGAACUGCCUUUGAUACUGGGGAUCUCGAGUCCGGAAGAGGUUGGUGGAACUGCGAGUGUAGAGGUGAAAUUCGUAGAUAUUCGCAAGAACACCAGUGGCGAAGGCGGCCAACUGGUCCGGAACUGACGCUGAGGUGGCG